Molecule: long non-coding RNA, 3153 nt
Organism: Mirounga angustirostris (Northern elephant seal)
Lineage: Eukaryota; Metazoa; Chordata; Mammalia; Carnivora; Phocidae
Exons: 4
Source: RefSeq, a predicted model, not a curated record
UUGGAACGCCCUAAGAGGUUGUGCUGCUGGCGUGGCUGGAAGCUGCUGGUGGGCGGGCGUAUGGCGGCCAGGCCUGGGACGCCACGAGGCCCGCUGGCGCCGUGGGGUCACUCUUCCUGAAGCCAGAAGUCACCAAGGCUGGAAGGGAAGGUCGGGGGCUGUCAGGGCUCAACCCUAGGUGUCGCUGGUGGCGGUGGGCAAACCCACCGGGCCGAGGGGACCGCCGCUGAGGCCAGGCGAGGAGGAAGAAAAUGUCUAGGGCCUGGAGGUAGAGAGCCAGGACCGCGAGGAGAGAGAGGGCUUACUGCCCCGAUGCAGAGGAGCAGUCCCAGACGGCUAAGGAGUUGAGGCCCCAGGGAUGCUGCGCCCUGCCGAGCUAGAAGGGAUUGCCUGCCAGAGUCUGAAAAUCCCAUCACUUUUGUAAAGGGGUUCAAAGCUGAAACUGUCACAGAACAGAGUGGGACCCGAGACACCUCAGAAGUGCGGCCAGAUGUGUGAGGAGCUGGCUGACAUGAAAGGCAGCUGGUGUGCCCGGCCACAGGGACCUGAGGAGCCCGGUGUGGUCACCUUUCUGUUAAGAUACAUACUUUCGCCAACACCAUGGUUUCUGCUCAGUUUCCCCUCAAUAGCUUCCCUCGGCAUAAGGAGCAGUGAUAACACAGAUCGAGACUGGGAGAGGCCUGUUCUUAAAUUGGAGGAAAUAAAAAGCAGCUCUCUGGAGCUCCUGUCCCCUGAUGUUGACCUCGUCGGCCCAGCCCUCCAUCCCACGGGACAGGAACAUCACAAACACGUGCGAACAACAUUCUAAGACUCAUGGUAAUUGCACUGCCAGGAACUUAUCCUUCCGAUGCCCUGCCCAGGCCGGGGAUGAUGAAUACCCAGGUUUAUUCAUUGCCAGGUGGUUGGAAACAGCAACAGGCUGGCAACAACAUAGAUGCUUGCCAUAGAGGGCUGGUUAAGUCAACCCCAUUCCUGCCUUGCGAUGGAAUUACCAUGUAGCGCUAAAAACAGAACCCGGAGGCUCAUUGUAUAGUGAGAGGAGAUGCGUCAUCACAUUGUUGAAGGCACGGUGGGGAACAAUGUUUAUAGUAUGCUACCAUCUGUGUUUAUAAGAAAAGGAAAAAAUAUACACGUAUGCAUCGGCUUGUAUAUACCUAGUGUGUCCCUAAGCUGGCUGGCUCCCAGGAGGGGGACGGGGAGACCAGAGAGAGAGAGAGAGAGAGAGAGGCCACAGGACGCCUCCCUGCAUACCCUUUUGUAUGUUUUGGUUUUCGAACCAGAAAUAAGUGCUCAGAAAUAGAUAUAUAAAAUUAAAUUUCCUUCACAAAAAGAAGCACAAACCAACCAUACACCGUGCUAAUUUGUUAUGAAAAACACACCGUAGGGAAGGGAUGGUGAAUUCCUAGGAAGCACGUAAGUGUGUUGCCUCCGGGACACCCAGGUUCCUCCCUGGACCUCAGAAUUCUUCCAAACUGCGCAUUAGUUCUCUAAGGAUUUUUUGCUUUGCUAAUAUCCCGUGAUACGUUGGUGUCUUCCACAUUAUAACCCAGCCAUCAACACCUUCUAGUUGUGGGCCAAAACGUAUUCCAGGACCCUUGUCCCCUUAGUCCCCUUAGGCCAGGACUCUUGUCCCCUUAGAUCCCGGCGAGGGUUGCCAUCACUGCGUAUGGGGAUAAGCAUGGACUUGUUUUUAUGUGUAUUUCCGAUUUGUGUCAAGUGAUACAGAUUUUUCCAUUCGCUGUGGUAGUGUAAACGUUCACUUUCAAGUAAUUUAUGUAAAUAAUGCAAGAGCAAAACAGUGUUAAGUAAAUAACAGCGCAGCGAGGCCAGCAGAUGCACAAAAACCACAGAUACGGAAGCGUGCCGGCCUGAAAUUCGGGGCACGCAGCUCCGUGCCACGUCAUCCCUCUCCCCAGCAAAGUGAUCUUACUUUCAGUGACCUGGCCUCUUGGACUCUUAACUCAACGUGAUCAAGAGAAGAGAAGAAAGAGGCAUUUGCGGUGAGCUUUCAAUUACUCAGUGGAGCAGCAAAUGCAGGUGUUCCUUAAGUGGGUGGGUGGCGGAAGCCUCCCCAACGCACCCUGAGCCCCUCUGCUGGGUCCGUCCACCUCUGUACAGAGAUGAUGACCUUCACUUCCCAUUCCAUUGUAGAACAUACUGUUCAUUCUCUCGUGUCAAUUAUGCCUUAAGGGCCACAAAUCUUAAGCUGAUAAGGGAGGCCUAACGAACCCCAGGGUUUGGCUGGGUCAACUCUUGCCUGCUGUCCGUCUCAGAUAGAUUGCAGACAGAUAGCGCCGGAAAUGGGGCCUGGGACAAAACUCCCCUCGGAAGAUCCAGGGUCCAAAAAACUGGUUAACAGAUGGGGAGGAGUUAUUGCUUUACGGGGUACUUAAAUGCAAGUGAACUCCAAAUUACAUUUCAGAGACACCGGGGAGGGGCUCCAGUGGAGAAGGGCAAGGUGGUUUCUCCUGAUGGGGGCAAAGAGAAUUCUAGCAGAGCGGGCUGGGGGCCAUGUGUAGUCACCACCACACGGAGGCAGGAUUUCAUGGGUCCCUAGCUCUCCCGCUCGCCUUCAAAUACCCAGAGUGCCUGCUCAUUUGGGUUGGUGACAGCGUGAUCACCCUGUGCGUGGGCCUUGCACACCUUUCUGGUGGCUGGUCUCUCUUGGAAAGCCUCGUUAAGCCUCCUGGCCCACCUUGUGCCUUUGCUUGGGAAAGACAAAACAAAGAUGGCUCUCCUUAACCCAGAUCAACGCCUGUCUAAGGCAACAGACGAGUAUUUUCGGGGUGGGGGUUUGAGGCCAACUUCUGCAGGCCCUUUGUCAGGAUGGCUUCGCCCCAGUACCCACGGGAGAGAGUGGGCAGGGGGUGGAGGGCUGGGAGACAGGCGCCUGCAGGACUGUGGACUCAGUUGGCCCCUAUGUACCAAAAGAUGACCAUUUUAUACACCAGCGUCUAAUGAAGUUUGCAGGCGAAUGUGAAUGGAAAAACGAAGAAAAUAAUUAUCUAAGCUGGGGAGUCGCCAGGGCUCUGGAGGCUAUGAUUUUGGUGCUAAUGGAAAUGUGGCAAGGGGGAGGGCCAGCCGGAAGAAGAGGCCACUCUUGUCCUUUUCUGAACUUGAGGUUUCUGGUUCCCGAAAGUUCUCGGUGGGGGA